This 18-nucleotide unclassified non-coding RNA is filed under the name Mus musculus (house mouse). Its description in RNAcentral is "oocyte_clustered_small_RNA5933". The record is from RNAcentral. Lineage: Eukaryota; Metazoa; Chordata; Mammalia; Rodentia; Muridae.
AAGUCAGACCUCUAUCUU